GCGUUAGCGGAGGAAAAGAAACCAACAGGGAUUGCCUUAGUAGCGGCGAGUGAAGCGGCAAAAGCUCAAAUUUGAAAUCUGGCACUUUCAGUGUCCGAGUUGUAAUUUGAAGAAGGUAUCUUUGGGUCUGGCUCUUGUCUAUGUUUCUUGGAACAGAACGUCACAGAGGGUGAGAAUCCCGUGCGAUGAGAUGUCCCAGACCUAUGUAAAGUUCCUUCGAAGAGUCGAGUUGUUUGGGAAUGCAGCUCUAAGUGGGUGGUAAAUUCCAUCUAAAGCUAAAUAUUGGCGAGAGACCGAUAGCGAACAAGUACAGUGAUGGAAAGAUGAAAAGAACUUUGAAAAGAGAGUGAAAAAGUACGUGAAAUUGUUGAAAGGGAAGGGCUUGAGAUCAGACUUGGUAUUUUGUAUGUUACUCUCUCGGGGGUGGUCUCUACAGUUUACCGGGCCAGCAUCAGUUUGAGCGGUAGGAUAAGUGCAAAGAAAUGUGGCACUGCUUCGGUAGUGUGUUAUAGUCUUUGUCGAUACUGCCAGCUUAGACUGAGGACUGCGGCUUCGGCCUAGGAUGUUGGCAUAAUGAUCUUAAGUCGCCCGUCUUGAACCAA
Molecule: ribosomal RNA, 602 nt
Filed under: Lodderomyces parapsilosis
Lineage: Eukaryota; Fungi; Ascomycota; Pichiomycetes; Serinales; Debaryomycetaceae
Description: eukaryotic LSU rRNA
Rfam family: Eukaryotic large subunit ribosomal RNA
Source: RNAcentral